This 1056-nucleotide ribosomal RNA is filed under the name Salmonella enterica. RNAcentral describes it as "partial 23S ribosomal RNA". It matches the Rfam family "Bacterial large subunit ribosomal RNA", at positions 711 to 1765 of the family's 2925-position model. Lineage: Bacteria; Pseudomonadati; Pseudomonadota; Gammaproteobacteria; Enterobacterales; Enterobacteriaceae. The record is from RNAcentral.
AGACCCGAAACCCGGUGAUCUAGCCAUGGGCAGGUUGAAGGUUGGGUAACACUAACUGGAGGACCGAACCGACUAAUGUUGAAAAAUUAGCGGAUGACCUGUGGCUGGGGGUGAAAGGCCAAUCAAACCGGGAGAUAGCUGGUUCUCCCCGAAAGCUAUUUAGGUAGCGCCUCGUGAAUUCAUCUCCGGGGGUAGAGCACUGUUUCGGCUAGGGGGCCAUCCCGGCUUACCAACCCGAUGCAAACUGCGAAUACCGGAGAAUGUUAUCACGGGAGACACACGGCGGGUGCUAACGUCCGUCGUGAAGAGGGAAACAACCCAGACCGCCAGCUAAGGUCCCAAAGUCAUGGUUAAGUGGGAAACGAUGUGGGAAGGCCCAGACAGCCAGGAUGUUGGCUUAGAAGCAGCCAUCAUUUAAAGAAAGCGUAAUAGCUCACUGGUCGAGUCGGCCUGCGCGGAAGAUGUAACGGGGCUAAACCAUGCACCGAAGCUGCGGCAGCGACACUAUGUGUUGUUGGGUAGGGGAGCGUUCUGUAAGCCUGCGAAGGUGGCCUGUGAGGGUUGCUGGAGGUAUCAGAAGUGCGAAUGCUGACAUAAGUAACGAUAAAGCGGGUGAAAAGCCCGCUCGCCGGAAGACCAAGGGUUCCUGUCCAACGUUAAUCGGGGCAGGGUGAGUCGACCCCUAAGGCGAGGCCGAAAGGCGUAGUCGAUGGGAAACGGGUUAAUAUUCCCGUACUUGGUGUUACUGCGAAGGGGGGACGGAGAAGGCUAUGUUGGCCGGGCGACGGUUGUCCCGGUUUAAGCGUGUAGGUGUGUGUUCCAGGUAAAUCCGGUUCACUUUAACACUGAGGCGUGACGACGAGGCACUACGGUGCUGAAGCAACAAAUGCCCUGCUUCCAGGAAAAGCCUCUAAGCAUCAGGUAACAUCAAAUCGUACCCCAAACCGACACAGGUGGUCAGGUAGAGAAUACCAAGGCGCUUGAGAGAACUCGGGUGAAGGAACUAGGCAAAAUGGUGCCGUAACUUCGGGAGAAGGCACGCUGACACGUAGGUGA